RNAcentral lists this ribosomal RNA (467 nucleotides) under uncultured bacterium. RNAcentral describes it as "partial 16S ribosomal RNA". It matches the Rfam family "Bacterial small subunit ribosomal RNA", at positions 28 to 506 of the family's 1533-position model. The record is from RNAcentral.
GACGAACGCUGGCGGCGUGCUUAACACAUGCAAGUCGAACGGAAAGGCCCUGCUUUUGUGGGGUGCUCGAGUGGCGAACGGGUGAGUAACACGUGAGUAACCUGCCCUUGACUUUGGGAUAACUUCAGGAAACUGGGGCUAAUACCGGAUAGGAGCUCCUGCUGCAUGGUGGGGGUUGGAAAGUUUCGGCGGUUGGGGAUGGGCUCGAGGCUUAUCAGCUUGUUGGUGGGGUAGUGGCUUACCAAGGAUUUGACGGGUAGCCGGCCUGAGAGGGUGACCGGCCACAUUGGGACUGAGAUACGGCCCAGACUCCUACGGGAGGCAGCAGUGGGGAAUAUUGCACAAUGGGCGGAAGCCUGAUGCAGAAACGCCGCGUGCGGGAUGACGGCCUUCGGGUUGUAAACCGCUUUCGCCUGUGACGAAGCGUGAGUGACGGUAAUGGGUAAAGAAGCACCGGCUAACUACGU